RNAcentral lists this ribosomal RNA (253 nucleotides) under uncultured bacterium. RNAcentral's name for it is "partial 16S ribosomal RNA". It matches the Rfam family "Bacterial small subunit ribosomal RNA", at positions 524 to 776 of the family's 1533-position model. The record is from RNAcentral.
UACGAAGGGGGCUAGCGUUGUUCGGAUUUACUGGGCGUAAAGCGCACGUAGGCGGAUCGAUCAGUCAGGGGUGAAAUCCCAGAGCUCAACUCUGGAACUGCCUUUGAUACUGUCGAUCUGGAGUAUGGAAGAGGUGAGUGGAAUUCCGAGUGUAGAGGUGAAAUUCGUAGAUAUUAGGAAGAACACCAGUGGCGAAGGCGGCUCACUGGCCCGGUACUGACGCUGAUGCGCGAAAGCGUGGGGAGCAAACAGG